CCUACGGGAGGCAGCAGUGGGGAAUAUUGGGCAAUGGAGGCAACCCUGACGCAGCGACGCCGCGUGAAUGAUGAAGGGCUUCGGCUCGUAAAGUUCUGUGAUGGGGGAUGAAAACAAUGACGGUACCCCAAUAACAAGCCACGGCUAACUAGGUGCCAGCAGCCGCGGUAAGACGUAGGUGGCAAGCGUUAUCCGGAAUGACUGGGCGUAAAGGCGGCGUAGGUGGUGUAGUAAGUAAGUGGUGUAAGCCCGGGGCUCAACCCCGGCGCUACCGCCAAAACUAUUAGACUAGAGUGCAGGAGGGGUAAGUGGAAUUCCUAGUGUAGCGGUGAAAUGCGUAGAUAUUAGGAGGAACAUCAGGGGCGAAGGCGACUUGCUGGACUGUAACUGACACUGAGGCACGAAAGCGUGGGGAGCAAACAGGAUUAGAUACCCCAGUAGUC
Molecule: ribosomal RNA, 443 nt
Filed under: uncultured bacterium
Lineage: Bacteria
Description: partial 16S ribosomal RNA
Rfam family: Bacterial small subunit ribosomal RNA
Source: RNAcentral